RNAcentral lists this ribosomal RNA (253 nucleotides) under uncultured bacterium. RNAcentral describes it as "partial 16S ribosomal RNA". It matches the Rfam family "Bacterial small subunit ribosomal RNA", at positions 524 to 776 of the family's 1533-position model. The record is from RNAcentral.
UACGUAGGGUGCGAGCGUUAAUCGGAAUUACUGGGCGUAAAGCGUGCGCAGGCGGUUUUGGAAGGCAGAUGUGAAAUCCCCGGGCUUAACCUGGGAAUGGCAUUUGGGACUGCAAGGCUGGAGUGUGGCAGAGGAGACUGGAAUUCCUGGUGUAGCAGUGAAAUGCGUAGAGAUGUGGAGGAACACCGAUGGCGAAGGCAGCCCCCUGGGUCAAGAUUGACGCUCAUGCACGAAAGCGUGGGGAGCAAACAGG